GUGCUCACUUCGGCAGCACAUAUACUAAAAUUGGAAGGAUACAGAGAAGAUUAGCACGACCCCUGCGCAAGGAUGACACACAAAUUUGUGAAGCAUUCCAUAUUUUU
Molecule: small nuclear RNA, 107 nt
Filed under: Octodon degus (degu)
Lineage: Eukaryota; Metazoa; Chordata; Mammalia; Rodentia; Octodontidae
Source: RNAcentral